This is a non-coding RNA of Bubalus bubalis (water buffalo), 73 nucleotides long. The record is from the annotation of a RefSeq genome assembly. NCBI's taxonomy places the organism in Eukaryota, Metazoa, Chordata, Mammalia, Artiodactyla, Bovidae.
UCCCUGGUGGUCCAGUGGUUAAGAUUCUGUGCUUCCAAUGCAGGGGGCCCAGGUUCAGUUCCUGGUCAGGGAA